Molecule: long non-coding RNA, 1722 nt
Organism: Mus caroli (Ryukyu mouse)
Lineage: Eukaryota; Metazoa; Chordata; Mammalia; Rodentia; Muridae
Source: RefSeq, a predicted model, not a curated record
CUAAUUCUCGCUGGAACACAACCAGGCUGACAGUUCCCCCGCUCUAGGCCUGAUGGGUGAAUCCAGGCAUCUUGGCGCUCUGCUGACAUCAUGGAAAAUCUUAGCUGCAUGGCCGCAGAGCACACACUUGCCAAUUAGCAGGGAAGCCCACAGAGGAAAGAGGCUGGGAUCCGUGGUUCUCUGAGUUGGGCAGAGCUGUGGACUUCUGGCUCCUCUCUUGCUGGGCUCCACACCGCGUCAUCACAGCUGUUUGAGUGGUUUAUCUCAGACUUGUUAGAAGGGAGAAGAGAAUUGGUUCUUUCUCCCCCUCCUUUAAAAGGGUCAAAGCUGGCAGGUUGUCUGUGACGCCUGUAUCCCGCCUGCCGUGGGCGCCCCUUCCAUCUCUGCUGUCAGAGGUUCUCAUGGAACUGUGCACCAGAACCUUCGGUGACCCUUCAGAAACAGACAAUCAGGAUGCCUCCUCAUGGCUGUUAGUAGGUCAAGGAUCCAGGGUGCAGCCCUGUCUGCCCAACGCCAAAGCCAAGGCUUGAGAGCACACUGCUCUCUGCCAGGAAUUGUGAACGACUUCUGGACUCCACCAACAAGUCACCCACUAUCAGAUGUGGGGAACAGGGGCCUCCUACAGAACACACUGAAGAGCUCUCUCCCAAGGCAGGACCAGCCAGGUCCUUAAAGUAGCCAGCACCCCUCAACCUACCCAAUAGCUGUUGGGGGCUGAGCUCACCCUCUAGGGACCUCCUGGGAAGCAAGCUAUUGGCAGGUGGAAAUGCAAAGCCUUAUUCUGGAAUGUUCUUGGCCAGUUGCUGAACCAUUCCUCCUUUGGCAAUGCAGGUGUCCCUAGUCUGAAAGUCUGGGGUCAAGGAAACUCAAAGAUUGGGGCAGCUCUGGGAUGUCCCGAAGGCCCUCUCUUAUUCCUAGAACAACUGAACAUGCGCAGUUAUCCUUUCUUUUCAUGUGAAGCCUCUCUCCUGGAUCACCACUCCCCGAUAGCCCCCGUCCCCUGUCAGCAUGAUCGAAACCUUCUCUGGACUGGGUCUUUCCGGGCAGCAACCUUAGGAAUAGGAACCCACAGCCUGGGGGAGGCCCAGCAGCCAUUUCCUCCUGUUGCCCCCAAGGCUAGUUUAAAGAUGCCAGCUGAGCUCCAGGAUUGCAAGAGGGGAAGACCUAUCACAAGGAGGUGAGAGAAAGCUUAUAGGGGAACCUCCUGAUGAGCAAGGCUUGCAGGUGUCAGCCCUGCUCCUGACAGGGCAGGAGGACAGGAGCUUCCUCUGCCCUGUGGGGAGCUGACCUCCACAGUGGGAGCAGUGAUGGGUGUACCGGUCUCUGUCUUACCAUGGUGCUGGGCAGCAGGACCCAGCUUAGUAUGUUUGGCAGGAUCUGCUGGCCCUGAGGGAUCCCCACCUUCAGGGUGGGUGCUCAGCUGCCUUCAACUGGGUACGGAUGGGGCUGAGUCCCCGUGAGAGGCCAGUGGUUGCGAUGGAGUUACUGUUUCCCCUAUCAGACACCCAUCUUCUUGUCUCAGUAGGGUGGACAUCACCUUUCUACUCUAUGGGCAGAUGGGGAAUGCAUGUUUGGAGGGGUGCAGCUGUCUGGGAGUGUGCAGCAGGCUGGGGCUCCUGACCUCUCACAGAAGGUUCUCUUUGAGAAUCUGGUCUAGAUUCCCACUCUGGUCUUAGCUGCUGGUGCUGUUUUGUUUUGGGAGGUUGCAAAACCUUUAUGAGG